RNAcentral lists this long non-coding RNA (474 nucleotides) under Vitis vinifera (wine grape). Its description in RNAcentral is "long non-coding RNA (VVIN_LNC000450)". Lineage: Eukaryota; Viridiplantae; Streptophyta; Magnoliopsida; Vitales; Vitaceae. The record is from RNAcentral.
ACAAAUGGCGAUGCUACUCACCUCACACGCUUCUCUAUUCUUUAAGAACCCUAAAACCCUUCGAUUAUCUUCAAUCCCCACCCAAAGCCCUUCUCUCUCAUUCGCCAAAGUCUCCACCCAAAACCCUCUUUUCUCCUCCAUUCGCCUCUAUGCCGCAUCCCCCGACAACCCUGACUCUUCCUCCAUCAAACCACCGUCGGCCAGCGACGGUGAUGCAUCGGAUUCCGAGGCGUCUGAUCAAGACAUUCAACAUGAUGCUGCUCCUGCUGGUGUCGCCGACGAAUGGGGUGAGAAGGCGGAGCCGGAGCUGGAGCCGGAGCCGGAGCCGGAGGAUUCGUACACGAAGCUCUCCGGCGCCGACCCACCCAGAGACGAGGAUGAGUGGGGUGGAGAUGGGGAUGCGAAGGACGCGUACAUCAAGUCGGGCAAUGGGAUAGCAACCGCAGCGGCGGCGGAGGUGGAUGAGGUUGGGGA